Molecule: long non-coding RNA, 1362 nt
Organism: Mirounga angustirostris (Northern elephant seal)
Lineage: Eukaryota; Metazoa; Chordata; Mammalia; Carnivora; Phocidae
Exons: 3
Source: RefSeq, a predicted model, not a curated record
GGGAUUUAUUCUACUAAGGAAAAAUGGAGAGUCCAAGUGGGGGGCUGGGAAGGGAGGAAGACGCGGUUUACUCGGUCCUUCGCCCUUCUCCCGUGAACAAUGUGAUGUACGUAGCAAGGAAACCAUCUUCAAUGCUGUCAGGGUCCCGCUGAGCCAGAGAGAGACAGCACACAAGCAGGGGGAGCUACAGAGGGAGAGGGAGAAGCAGGCUCCCCACUGAGCAGGGAGCCCAGUGAUGCGGGGCUUGAUCCCAGGACCCUGGGAUCAUGACCUGAGCCGAAGGCAGACGCUUAACUUGACUGAGCCACCCAUGUGCCCCUCGGACAGCAUCUGUUUUGUUCCUUCAGCAUCUACAUGAUGAGACACAAAGAAUAUGGAUCACCAUUCGAUAGUGGUGGAGACGGCAUCGGACCCAGCUGACCCCAGGACCUGCUCUCUUACCCUCCACACAAUUUCGGCAUGUUACUGGCUGGGUCCAUUUAUGAGCGAGUGCUCUUUCAUAUUUAACAGGACUGCCUUCCCUUAGCCCCUCUGUAACCCUGGGGAAUUGAUUCAGCUGCCCACCUGGUAAAUCAAGUAUCCAUUUUUGCAUCCAGAGCUGAUUUCAUAGAAAUCUAAAUACAGUUUACUAGAUUUACAUGUUAACACUAAAAGGAAAAAGUUCCCUGCUUGCCUUUUAGUUGGGGCAAUGCUUUGGUUUUAUGGGCUUGUUUGAGUAAGUAAUUAUUCUGGUAAUGCCAAGGCCUCCUUUAUGGAGUCAUAAAUGCAUCCUGGACAACUUAGAAUAACUAGCAAGCCUUUCCCUUUGAGCCUAGCAGGCAAACACGGCUCAGCUAGAUGUGAGUUGGUUUCCCUGUCCCUGCAGGUUUCUCUUUUUCUCUGGAAACAUCCUAUGAAACCAUGUGAAGGGGGGAAAGAGGAUCAGAUAAUUGGGAUCUUUAAGAUGGUUAUUAUGAAAAAUGUUCUGGAACCAAUUCAAAUACCAAUCAGAAACCACAUUGUUCAACUAAAUCACUUUCAGAUGCCACAUAAGAUACAAAAUACAAUGAUUUCCAGUUUAAAAAUAUAAUGUUCCUUUUAAAAAAACACAGUAUUUUAUUUUAUUAUUUUAAAAAAACAAAAAACAAAACAAAAAAAACCCCGCCUUGGCUGGAAUUCAGGCCCGUCACAGAUGAUGUACAGACAGGCUUUGUGCAGUUCCCUUCAGAUCCGGGGCCUAUAGACCUCAGUGUAAUGUAUUUAAAAUUUCCUUAAAAUGGAUGUGACGGCUGUUUUCUUUGUAUAUUACAGAAAUAUACAGAGUUCAGAGGCUCCGUGGCUACACUUCAGGCAUGUAUGUCAUUAAAGGAAUGAAAAAAAGAU